RNAcentral lists this ribosomal RNA (492 nucleotides) under uncultured bacterium. RNAcentral describes it as "partial 16S ribosomal RNA". It matches the Rfam family "Bacterial small subunit ribosomal RNA", at positions 29 to 507 of the family's 1533-position model. The record is from RNAcentral.
AGUGAACGCUGGCGGUAGGCCUAACACAUGCAAGUCGAACGGCAGCACAGUAAGAGCUUGCUCUUACGGGUGGCGAGUGGCGGACGGGUGAGGCAUACAUCGGAAUCUACUUUUUCGUGGGGGAUAACGUAGGGACACUUACGCUAAUACCGCAUACGAUCUACGGGUGAAAGCAGGGGAUCUUCGGACCUUGCGCGAUUGAAUUAGCCGAUGUCGGAUUAGCUAGUUGGCGGGGUAAAGGCCCACCAAGGCGACGAUCCGUAGCUGGUCUGAGAGGAUGAUCGGCCACACUGGAACUGAGACACGGUCCAGACUCCUACGGGAGGCAGCAGUGGGGAAUCUUGGACAAUGGGCGCAAGCCUGAUCCAGCCAUGCCGCGUGGGUGAAGAAGGCCUUCGGGUUGUAAAGCCCUUUUGUUGGGAAAGAAAAGCAGCAGGUGAAUACCCCGCUGUUCUGACGGUACCCAAAGAAUAAGCACCGGCUAACUUCGUG